This 285-nucleotide long non-coding RNA is filed under the name Ananas comosus (pineapple). Its description in RNAcentral is "long non-coding RNA (ACOM_LNC001682)". Lineage: Eukaryota; Viridiplantae; Streptophyta; Magnoliopsida; Poales; Bromeliaceae. The record is from RNAcentral.
UUUUCCAUCAAUUUUGAACUUAGAUAAGGUCAAUUAAUUUGAAUUUAAUUAUAAUAUCCAUAGUUAGUUAAUUCGGAUUCGGCAAAAAUUCGGUACGGGUAUAAUUCGGAUAAAAUUCCUCUUUUAAUUUUUAAAUUCGUUGAAAAAUACGGCUAAAAAACGGAUUCAUCAAUUAUUCGGAUACGUGAUUUAUACGGAUAUUAUACAUUUACCAAUUAAAAAUUCGGGAUAAAAAAUUCGGCUAUUAAAUUAAAUUCUUUUUCUCUCAAGAUUUAUGCUAUUAUU